GGGGAUGUCCCGGUUUCGACGGAAUUGGGAAAUCUUGUAUUGCAGGUAGGAGUGAAGGUUCCUUAAACUGACAAACAAAUAACUGCAAUUUUCGCAAGAAAAGAAGAAGAAGCUGAUGAAGCUUUCGAAGCAGAAGCACUCGCUGCGUAAGUAGCCGUGCAGGAACUCACCCGGCUCUGUUCCGCGUUGGAUGAUGUUCCUUUACCUAUCGGGACUUGCUGGAUAUAGAUUCUGUAAUGUAUCCGGGACUCUUUAUCAGAAUACGGAGGCGACGCUUGUUAUGCUGCUACCGGCUCCCGACAAAUACCUCGCAUAACUAAACUUGUAGAUAUACCUGGUUUACUUUUUCGGACGGGGGUUCAAUUCCCCCCAUCUCCAACA
RNAcentral lists this transfer-messenger RNA (381 nucleotides) under Treponema sp. It matches the Rfam family "transfer-messenger RNA". From Rfam's summary of the family: Bacterial tmRNA, also known as 10Sa RNA or SsrA, is named for its dual tRNA and mRNA-like properties. Lineage: Bacteria; Pseudomonadati; Spirochaetota; Spirochaetia; Treponematales; Treponemataceae. The record is from RNAcentral.